This 524-nucleotide ribosomal RNA is filed under the name Crocidura olivieri (Olivier's shrew). RNAcentral describes it as "partial 16S ribosomal RNA". It matches the Rfam family "Bacterial large subunit ribosomal RNA", at positions 1835 to 2586 of the family's 2925-position model. Lineage: Eukaryota; Metazoa; Chordata; Mammalia; Eulipotyphla; Soricidae. The record is from RNAcentral.
CAUUGCCAGUAUUAGAGGCACUGCCUGCCCAGUGACAUUAGUUAAACGGCCGCGGUAUCCUGACCGUGCAAAGGUAGCAUAAUCAUUUGUUCCUUAAUUAGGGACUUGUAUGAACGGCCCCACGAGGGUUUAACUGUCUCUUACUUUUAAUCAGUGAAAUUGACCUUCCCGUGAAGAGGCGGGAAUACAAAAAUAAGACGAGAAGACCCUAUGGAGCUUAAAUUAAUAUGUUCAACAGAAUUUAAUUAUAACCCAAUAGGAAUAAAAACAUUCUAACUGAACAAUAAAUUUUGGUUGGGGUGACCUCGGAGUAUAACAUAACCUCCGAGCAAUUAAACCAAGACUUACCAGUCAAGGCCAUAUAACUUAUUGAUCCAAUCUUAUUGAUCAACGAAACAAGUUACCCUAGGGAUAACAGCGCAAUCCUAUUUAAGAGUUCAUAUCGACAAUAGGGUUUACGACCUCGAUGUUGGAUCAGGACACCCAAAUGGUGCAGCAGCUAUUAAAGGUUCGUUUGUUCAACG